CUCAGAGUGAACGCUGGCGGCGUGCCUCAUACAUGCAAGUCGAACGAUGAAGCUCUAGCUUGCUAGAGUGGAUUAGUGGCGCACGGGUGAGUAAUGCAUAGGAAUCUGCCUUGUAGUCUAGGAUAGCCACUGGAAACGGUGAUUAAUACUGGAUAUUCCGGAGACGGGAAAGUUUUUCGCUACAAGAUGAGCCUAUGUUCUAUCAGCUUGUUGGUAAGGUAAAAGCUUACCAAGGCUAUGACGGAUAACUGGUCUGAGAGGAUGAUCAGUCACACUGGAACUGAGACACGGUCCAGACUCCUACGGGAGGCAGCAGUAGGGAAUUUUGCACAAUGGGGGAAACCCUGAUGCAGCGACGCCGCGUGGAGGAUGAAGGUUUUCGGAUCGUAAACUCCUUUUUAUGGGAAGAUAAUGACGGUACCAUAAGAAUAAGCACCGGCUAACUCCGUGCCAGCAGCCGCGGUAAACGCACUCGU
This 476-nucleotide ribosomal RNA is filed under the name uncultured bacterium. RNAcentral describes it as "bacterial SSU rRNA". It matches the Rfam family "Bacterial small subunit ribosomal RNA", at positions 23 to 533 of the family's 1533-position model. The record is from RNAcentral.